CGUAGGGUCCAAGCGUUAUCCGGAAUCACUGGGCGUAAAGCGUACGUAGGCGGCGCGUUAAGUGAGAUGCGAAAUCUGGUGGCUCAACCAUCUAGACUGUAUCUCAUACUGGCGUGCUGGAGGUCGGCAGAGGCAAGUGGAAUUACCGGUGUAGCAGUGAAAUGCGUAGAUAUCGGUAGGAACACCAAUGGCGAAGGCAGCUUGCUGGGCCGCACCUGACGCUGAGGUACGAAAGCGUGGGGAGCGAACAGGAUUAGAUACCCUGGUAGUCCACGCCGUAAACGAUGGAUGCUAGUAGUGUGAAGUAUCGACCCUUUGCGUUGCGAAGCUAACGCGUUAAGCAUCCCGCCUGGGGAGUACGGCCGCAAGGCUA
This 373-nucleotide ribosomal RNA is filed under the name uncultured organism. Its description in RNAcentral is "bacterial SSU rRNA". It matches the Rfam family "Bacterial small subunit ribosomal RNA", at positions 526 to 896 of the family's 1533-position model. The record is from RNAcentral.